RNAcentral lists this ribosomal RNA (430 nucleotides) under uncultured bacterium. RNAcentral describes it as "bacterial SSU rRNA". It matches the Rfam family "Bacterial small subunit ribosomal RNA", at positions 917 to 1345 of the family's 1533-position model. The record is from RNAcentral.
GGACCCGCACAAGUAGUGGAGCAUGUGGUUUAAUUCGAAGAUACGCGCAGAACCUUACCAACACUUGACAUGUUCGUCGCGACUUUAAGAGAUUAAAGUUUUCGGUUCGGCCGGACGAAACACAGGUGCUGCAUGGCUGUCGUCAGCUCGUGUCGUGAGAUGUUGGGUUAAGUCCCGCAACGAGCGCAACCCUCACUUUUAGUUGCCAUCAUUUAGUUGGGCACUCUGAAAGAACUGCCAGUGAUAAGCUGGAGGAAGGUGGGGAUGACGUCAAGUCCUCAUGGCCCUUACGUGUUGGGCUACACACGUGCUACAAUGGUAUCUACAACAGGAAGCAAAACGGCGACGUUAAGCAAAUCCUUAAAAGAUACCUCAGUUCGGAUUGCACUCUGCAACUCGAGUGCAUGAAGCUGGAAUUACUAGUAAUCGU